GCUACAGGCUUAACACAUGCAAGUCGAGGGGUAACGAGAGGGAAGCUUGCCUUCCUUGUCGACGACCGGCGGAUGGGUGAGUAACGCGUAUCCAACCUGCCCUUCAGUAAGGGAUAGCCUUUCGAAAGAAAGAAUAAUACCUUAUGUGAUCGUCUGAUGACAUCAGAUGACGAUCAAAGAUUUAUCGCUGAAGGAUGGGGAUGCGUCCCAUUAGGCAGUAGGCGGGGUAACGGCCCACCUAACCUACGAUGGGUAGGGGUUCUGAGAGGAAGGUCCCCCACAUUGGAACUGAGACACGGUCCAAACUCCUACGGGAGGCAGCAGUGAGGAAUAUUGGUCAAUGGCCGUAAGGCUGAACCAGCCAAGUAGCGUGAAGGAUGACGG
This 384-nucleotide ribosomal RNA is filed under the name uncultured Bacteroidales bacterium. RNAcentral describes it as "bacterial SSU rRNA". It matches the Rfam family "Bacterial small subunit ribosomal RNA", at positions 39 to 414 of the family's 1533-position model. Lineage: Bacteria; Pseudomonadati; Bacteroidota; Bacteroidia; Bacteroidales. The record is from RNAcentral.